Molecule: long non-coding RNA, 1208 nt
Filed under: Heterocephalus glaber (naked mole-rat)
Lineage: Eukaryota; Metazoa; Chordata; Mammalia; Rodentia; Bathyergidae
Description: lncRNA (ENSHGLG00000035744.1)
Source: RNAcentral
GAAAGAUGUUCAAGUGUGAGUUUAGUGAUGGAGGAGCUUCUUUUCAACUUGGGUAUUCAGGUGUGCUGAUGGUUAAGAAAUCAUGUAAGAUGUGGUCCCUGCUCUCACAGUCUCACAGGAUAGCUGCUCUUAUGUCUGAAGGCACAAGGCCAUCACCCCAAGUACGUGCAUACCUGCUGAAUGUGCAGAUGUACUUCCUUGUAUAGAGCUCCAGAGCUUGCGUUUUAAACAAGGACUCUUGUGAUUCUGAUGCUGAUGUUUCAGGUAAGAACUACUGUUUUUUGAGGAGGGCAUUAUUUAUUUACAUUUUCUGAGACAGAGUUCACUAUGUAGUCCAGGCUGUCCUUGAACUUGCUGUGUAGCCCAUGCUGGCCUUGAAUUCAGGAUCCUCCUCCCUCAGCCUCCUGGAUGCUGGGAUUACAGUUUUUCUGCUGAUGCCUGUGAAGAGCUGAAUGGGGACCACUAUGUACUACUCAGUACAGCAUCUGUGAAGAAUGGGAGCUGACCUCAUGCAUAGAGCUACUUGGAGGCUGAGGUCUGACUGCUAGAUUCAACCACAUGGUUUUUACAGUGCUCACUUGCUGUGUGUCCUGGGGUUACAGAGGCACGUGAAACAUGACCCCUGCCUUGAUGGAUGAAGCAUGUGUGAACAAAGAGGCACAAAGAGCCCCAAGUCCAGUUUCACACAUUGGUGAAGAGCUGGGUCUUCGUGUGGAGCUGGAAAGGAGGAAGGAGGUUCUGCAGUCUCACAUCUGAGGCCUAUAGGAGAGUUUAUCAAAUAAUCUGGCCCAAGAAUUGCUCCUCUGUGGAAGACUACUUUCUGUGACCAUGGCAGACAUCAUGCACUAUCCUGAGACUCUUCUGAGCCAGAGGAAGUUUAAAAUCUUUUUGAACGAAGCGAACCAGGAGCCACUGCUAGAUUCUGGCUAUCUGAAUCCUUUUCUUACCCCUCUUGGAUAUUUCAUGCCUCAAAAAUCUCAGGUUCUUCUAGCUUUCCCCGACAGUGGGCUAGACUAUCUGGAUCUGAUUACCCAUUGAGGAAAAAAUCUACAGGUCCUCUUAAAGGCAUUAAUAGAUAACAAGAUAGUAUAAAAUUACCAGAAAAAUUAAUUAAGGGAAAACAUGCGAGGGAAAGACUUUUUGCCAUAAGGGCAUUGGCCAAUUUGGGGAACUUCAAACUUUUGGUUUUGAAAUUCUUAUAAACAAAG